GCCGAGACUAGAGUCACGUCUGGACAGUGCCUGUUGUCCUGAUGUGCUAGAGUACUCGAAAAGUAACCACUAAUCUAUAUUCACUGGCUGUGACCAUUCCUGUCUCAGUCAGUCACCAGAUUAGUGACAGGA
This is a small nucleolar RNA of Chrysolophus pictus (golden pheasant), 132 nucleotides long. The record is from Ensembl. Lineage: Eukaryota; Metazoa; Chordata; Aves; Galliformes; Phasianidae.